GACGAACCGUGCAAACGUUGUUCGGAAUUACUGGGCGUAAAGUGUGCGCAGGCGGCCGAGCAAGUCGAGUGUGAAAGCCCCGAGCUUAACUUGGGAAUUGCGCUCGAAACUACUUGGCUGGAGUGUGGCAGAGGAAGGUGGAAUUCCAGGUGUAGCGGUGAAAUGCGUAGAGAUCUGGAGGAACACCGAUGGCGAAGGCAGCCUUCUGGGCCAACACUGACGCUCAUGCACGAAAGCGUGGGGAGCAAACAGG
This 253-nucleotide ribosomal RNA is filed under the name uncultured bacterium. RNAcentral's name for it is "partial 16S ribosomal RNA". It matches the Rfam family "Bacterial small subunit ribosomal RNA", at positions 524 to 776 of the family's 1533-position model. The record is from RNAcentral.